UAGUGCAGCUGAUUGAAAUGAGUAACCAAAAUGUGAUGGUGCUGUGCAGCUGAUUGGCAUUGACAUCGGCCAAUUGGCACGUAGCACCGCCUUUUUAAACCUGAUUGGUCGGUGCUUGGGAUACGUCACGUCCGACUCCGAUGCACUGGUUUGGGUGUCUGUAGCCGCGGCUACAGUGCAUCGUGUGGCGGUGGCUUUUCCCUUGGCUGUGGUGGCUGGAUGACUGUUCAGUUGCAGCUAUUAAUUCCGGCACCUCGCUGUAUUGUAUCGACCAACGAGUGAUUUAGAACGUGUCUGAGUGUGCGCCCAUUGGUAAGUGAAGCACGUAUGAUGUGGUGUGAUCAUUUAAAGGACCAUGUUAAUGGGCUUGUUUGCGCUUUUCCUCCUUAGGAUCCUCCCUUUUCCCCUUUCUUUCUCUCUUACGUCGGAUCUUCCUCUGGUAUCAUUUGCGUACUAGCUCCCGUGUUCAUCGCUAUUGCCGUGGUUACCGGAGACCGUCUGCAACUGCUGCUAAUGCUAACGGCGGCGUAUUGGCUGCUGCUUGGACACCACCAAUGCAGCUGCUAGCGGGGACUGCCUGCAAUAACUCUUAGCGUGCUGCUUUGUGCUCCCCUUCA
Danio rerio (zebrafish) is the source of this 617-nucleotide non-coding RNA. NCBI's taxonomy places the organism in Eukaryota, Metazoa, Chordata, Actinopteri, Cypriniformes, Danionidae. The record is from RefSeq and is a predicted model, not a curated record.